AAGUCGUAACAAGGUUUCCGUAGGUGAACCUGCGGAAGGAUCAUUAACACGUCUAAACGUAACAACCAACCGUGAUUUCUAUACAUCACCAGUCUUUGUAUGACAGAGAUUGGAGUCUAGGCAGGGAGAUCAAGUAUUAGAUCCUCGUAUCUUUUCCCUUGUUUUCCCUGUCUUUUCACAAAUUUUAUUCCCCCCUCGAUUUCCUUUCUGUUGUUUGCAGUCUUUACAGCUCGUCUGUUCGACUCAAUCUAAAUAAUAUUUUAUUUAAAUUUAAAAACAACUCUUAGCAAUGGAUAUCUUGGUUCUC
RNAcentral lists this unclassified non-coding RNA (307 nucleotides) under fungal sp. RNAcentral's name for it is "partial internal transcribed spacer region". The stretch from base 1 to 46 matches the Rfam family "Eukaryotic small subunit ribosomal RNA", at positions 1786 to 1831 of the family's 1831-position model. The record is from RNAcentral. Lineage: Eukaryota; Fungi.